GUCUAGUGUCAAGGAUCACCCCCGUUUGUUGCCUGUUUAACAUCGCAACGUGCGGGGGUUUUCU
This 64-nucleotide antisense RNA is filed under the name Pluralibacter gergoviae. Its description in RNAcentral is "Enterobacter gergoviae rdlD antitoxin". It matches the Rfam family "rdlD antitoxin". The record is from Rfam by way of RNAcentral. Lineage: Bacteria; Pseudomonadati; Pseudomonadota; Gammaproteobacteria; Enterobacterales; Enterobacteriaceae.